Molecule: ribosomal RNA, 253 nt
Filed under: uncultured bacterium
Lineage: Bacteria
Description: partial 16S ribosomal RNA
Rfam family: Bacterial small subunit ribosomal RNA
Source: RNAcentral
UACGGAGGGGGCUAGCGUUGUUCGGAAUUACUGGGCGUAAAGCGCACGUAGGCGGCUUUUCAAGUCAGAGGUGAAAGCCCGGGGCUCAACCUCGGAAUUGCCUUCGAUACUGCCGGUCUCGAGUCCGGGAGAGGUGAGUGGAAUUCCCAGUGUAGAGGUGAAAUUCGUAGAUAUUAGGAAGAACACCAGUGGCGAAGGCGGCUCACUGGCCCGGUACUGACGCUCAGGUGCGAAAGCGUGGGGAGCAAACAGG